GCCAACUGCCAUACUAUAUUUAAGACAUUGGUUUCUCAUAUGAUAACUGAAGUUAAGCAGUACUGUGCAUUAUUAGUACUUGGAUGCAUGACUGAUUAGGAAUACCACGUGCUAUUGGCA
This 120-nucleotide ribosomal RNA is filed under the name Zootermopsis nevadensis. The record is from RNAcentral. Lineage: Eukaryota; Metazoa; Arthropoda; Insecta; Blattodea; Termopsidae.